AAGGUCCCUAAAUGUAAGUUAAGUGGUAAAGGAUGUGGGAUUGCACAGACAACCAGGAUGUUGGCUUAGAAGCAGCCACUCAUUCAAAGAGUGCGUAAUAGCUCACUGGUCGAGUGAUCCUGCGCCGAAGAUUUCCGGGGCUAAAACUUACUACCGAAGCUACGGCAUCAGUAAUGAUGGGUAGGGGGGCUUCCCAUACGGGUUGAAGCAUGACCGUAAGGACAUGUGGACAGUAUGGGAGUGAGAAUGUUGGCAUGAGUAGCGAGAUGUGGGUGAGAAUCCCACAGGCCGUAAACCCAAGGUUUCCAGGGGAAGGUUCGUCCGCCCUGGGUUAGUCGGGACCUAAGCUGAGGCCGAAAGGCGUAGGUGAUGGACAACAGGUUGAUAUUCCUGUACUACCGAUAACCGUUUGAGAGAAGGGAUGACACAGUAGGAUAAGCUAAGCACACUG
Molecule: ribosomal RNA, 451 nt
Filed under: Clostridioides difficile
Lineage: Bacteria; Bacillati; Bacillota; Clostridia; Peptostreptococcales; Peptostreptococcaceae
Description: bacterial LSU rRNA
Rfam family: Bacterial large subunit ribosomal RNA
Source: RNAcentral